Melanotaenia boesemani (Boeseman's rainbowfish) is the source of this 799-nucleotide long non-coding RNA. RefSeq lists it as uncharacterized. Lineage: Eukaryota; Metazoa; Chordata; Actinopteri; Atheriniformes; Melanotaeniidae. The record is from RefSeq and is a predicted model, not a curated record. The transcript has 3 exons.
ACUACACAAGACAUGACCACAGGAGGUGACAGCCAGUUUGCGGUCUGCGCUGGGUGAACCAAAGCAGGAAUUGCAGCAGACCCAUGACGCCAAAGUGAGGAGAGUGGCUGAAUGUCUUCGGGUCCCAAGGCUCCAUCAAGAAGUGACCUACAGGUUAUUUUUUUCCAGUUUGGACAACAACUGCUUCUACUGAAUGCGUUGUAGCUUGUACCCCCACCCUCUGGUGACACUAUGCAGCUUUCUUUAAUUGCUUCAAACCAGUUAUGUCAAUGUUCACACCUGCAUAUUUAUUUUUGUGGCUUUUCAAAAAAUUGACUUGGCCUGAAAAGGAAUUCUGUCUCCCACAAGCAGUUCAGCCAUAUGCCUCUUUUUAUUUGGACUUGAAAUUACUACACAAAUUUACAAUUAAGUUAAUCCUUAAAAUUGUAACAUGAAGUUACUCAUUUGUUUACUUAUUGUAUUUUUGGAUAUAGCUAUAGGAAAGCAAACCACACAAUAUAUGCAUUGUUGUUUGCUUUUCUUAUGGAAACUGAUUGGUACUGAAACAGGACAAAUCAGUUUUUAAGAGCACAGUAUGUAAUAAUGGUCAGCGAAGUGUGUGCUGUAUAAACCAAGUUGCUUUUCAAUUUUUGCACUUCAUAAAAUUAUCUAAGAAAUGGCUGUGCUAUUACAGAAUGAUUCAACAGUUAAGUGGUGAGUCACAAUAAUUGGCAGUAAGGUACAAGCUUGGAAUCUAAUUCCACAUUUAUUGCUAAAGUUGAGAACAUAGAACAUAAACGACACUGUGGAGGACUAUUCC